Non-coding RNA from Rattus norvegicus (Norway rat), 1386 nucleotides. The record is from RefSeq and is a predicted model, not a curated record. NCBI's taxonomy places the organism in Eukaryota, Metazoa, Chordata, Mammalia, Rodentia, Muridae.
UGUCCCCUAGAAUCUGUUAUUCCUAACCAAAGGCACCACUGAGAGGCAAUGGGACCUUAAGUGGGGAACCUUAUACUUGGAAGAAUCUGGGUCAUUGGUGACAUAUCUUUGAAAGACAUGUUAGUGCCCCAUGUCCUUGCUCUCUCUCACUCUCUUUCACUUUCUGGCCACCAUGCAUUGAUCAGCCUUGCUCUGCCAUGUGCUUCUUGACAUAAUAUGCUGCCUCCCCACAAGUCUAACACCAGUGGGGAAAAACAAACAGGAACUAAAUCCACUGAAAGGUUGAACCAAAUAACCUUUUCUUUUAAGUUGAAUGUCUCGGGUACUUUAUUACCAUAAUAGAAAGCUGACUGAGAUAGAGGGAGGAAGAUAGGAGAAGGGGAAAGAGGAGGAAGAAAGGGAGAAAGGAAGAAAAGAAGGAAUGGAGGUAAAAGGGGAGAGAGAAAUAGGAGUGAAGUGGGAGAGGGGAGGGAGAGGAAGAAGACAUCUACAACUGUAUGUUCAGUACAUCAAUUCCUCUGACCCUAGUGGACGCUAAGGUCACUCCACUAGGAGUGUUCUUACAACUCACAAUCCUGGAUUCAUACACACUUUACAUCUCCACUCUCAAAUUCUACAUGAGCAUUCUGAAGAAAUCAUCUACCUGUGAGAACAAGGCAAAAUAACCAACAAUGAGAAAGUGUCAAGCUCCAACUGCUCUGGAGAUAUACCACCGAGCUCACUGCACACAAGUAGAGAUGUGGAGUCAAAGCACCUUGCAGCUAUUCCGUACUGAAGCAGGGCAGAGUCAUCCAAGUUCUACCAAGAGCACCAUAGUCUGCGGUCUCCCCCCAGGGGAUGCAAGCACAUGAUGAGAACAAACUGGACCUGGGAAUGGAAGGAGUAGUCAGAUGAGGAUGAGGAAGACCACCAGGAGUACAGAGCAUGGUGCAGAGUCAUAGCUACGAAGGUUCAACAUGGGAAAUGCCUUGGACACCAACAGCCCCAUACUGUGUUUCAUAUGUGUGAAUGUGACAAAGUAGCUGUUGGGAUAAGUGAAGGCAAGAGGAAAGAAAGGGAAAUGAGGACAUGUAGGUUGAUGUCAUUAUGCAGGUGCGGACUGGCACAAGUUAGGUCAAGGCCAUGAUUGGACAGUAAACAAUUAAGGCGGGGACAAAGCAUUUGUAAGUCCGGAGAGAAGGGGAAGGAGGACAAUCAAGUUGGAGAUGGAGAAGGGUGACCCAGAUCUGGGUGGUCUUGAAUUGCCAAGGUAGUUGGGAGGGAUUUCUGCAAGCAAAUUUGUCUUAUCUAGGUAGGUGGUUUAUAUCUUUAUCAAUUGGUUGUGAGUUCAUUGUGAGGAUGUAUUGUGGAUUGAGAAUUUAACAUACAGAUCUGAUUGAUAAGUUA